AGAGGUAUUGCUGGGUCAUAUGGUAACCACAUUUGAAAAAUCUGCCAAAGUGUUUUCCAAAAUUACUGCACUAUUAUGCAUUCCUACCAGCAAU
Molecule: microRNA precursor, 94 nt
Filed under: Marmota monax (woodchuck)
Lineage: Eukaryota; Metazoa; Chordata; Mammalia; Rodentia; Sciuridae
Source: RNAcentral